This is a long non-coding RNA of Medicago truncatula (barrel medic), 511 nucleotides long. RefSeq lists it as uncharacterized. NCBI's taxonomy places the organism in Eukaryota, Viridiplantae, Streptophyta, Magnoliopsida, Fabales, Fabaceae. The transcript has 2 exons. The record is from RefSeq and is a predicted model, not a curated record.
UUUAUAAAUUAUAAAACGAUAUAUACAUAUGUUACAAACAAAGGAGGAAAUAUGACUAAAGUUGUUAAUUUUAUUUAUAGUAUGAUUAUCUUUCUUUUUCUAUUUCCGGUUGCAACGAAGACCCAAUUUCUCCCAAAUUAUUAUGAAUUUUAUCACUGUUAUAAUCAUUCUGAUUGUCAAGGAAGUAUGUGCCCAACUGGUAGCAAACCAAAGUGUGUAGAUCAAGUGUGUGAAUGUAUUCUGAUAAGGAUGUGAAUAUAUCAUGUGCUAACAUGAUUCAUCAUUAGGUUCCACACCGAAGAUAGUACACAAAUGCUCUGCUGCAAUAUUCCAUAAGCUGUUGUUUAGUUAUUUUCUCGCCACCAAAUAAAUUGAUUUUUUUCCUUAUAUAUUUUCAAGAACUUUUUAGUUAUAUAUUUGUACUCUAAAAUAUUGAUAAUGAAAUGAAUUAAGAUAGAAACAAAUAUUAAUGAAAUAAUAAUUCUCUAGUGAGGUUACAUUCUCGAAGUCA